RNAcentral lists this non-coding RNA (245 nucleotides) under Megasphaera geminata. RNAcentral describes it as "Anaeroglobus geminatus T-box sequence". It matches the Rfam family "T-box leader". Rfam says of the family: Uncharged tRNA acts as the effector for transcription antitermination of genes in the T-box leader family. T-boxes are found upstream of many aminoacyl-tRNA synthetase genes and some amino acid biosynthetic genes usually in Gram-positive bacteria. The anticodon of a specific tRNA base pairs to a specifier sequence within the T-box motif, and the NCCA acceptor tail of the tRNA base pairs to a conserved bulge in the T-box antiterminator hairpin. The record is from RNAcentral. Lineage: Bacteria; Bacillati; Bacillota; Negativicutes; Veillonellales; Veillonellaceae.
AACGUUGCAAUGAAGAGAAGAGUACACAAAAAAGAUUGUCGCAGAGAGCUUCCGAACCGGUGCAAGGAAGUACAUGACGUUUUGUGGAACAUGGCCUCCGAGCUGACAGCCGAAUAGUUAAGCUGCCCGGGCACACCCGUUACAGUGUUAGAGUAUUCAAGGCCGAUCGGCCCGCGUACUUGAAGAGGCGCAAAUCGCGAGAUCUGCGUGAAAUCGGGUGGUAACACGGUACUUCCGUCCCUUAU